This 548-nucleotide ribosomal RNA is filed under the name Salmonella enterica subsp. enterica serovar Stanley. RNAcentral's name for it is "partial 23S ribosomal RNA". It matches the Rfam family "Bacterial large subunit ribosomal RNA", at positions 641 to 1190 of the family's 2925-position model. Lineage: Bacteria; Pseudomonadati; Pseudomonadota; Gammaproteobacteria; Enterobacterales; Enterobacteriaceae. The record is from RNAcentral.
CAAGGUUAACCGAAUAGGGGAGCCGGAGGGAAACCGAGUCUUAAUUGGGCGUUAAGUUGCAGGGUAUAGACCCGAAACCCGGUGAUCUAGCCAUGGGCAGGUUGAAGGUUGGGUAACACUAACUGGAGGACCGAACCGACUAAUGUUGAAAAAUUAGCGGAUGACCUGUGGCUGGGGGUGAAAGGCCAAUCAAACCGGGAGAUAGCUGGUUCUCCCCGAAAGCUAUUUAGGUAGCGCCUCGUGAAUUCAUCUCCGGGGGUAGAGCACUGUUUCGGCUAGGGGGCCAUCCCGGCUUACCAACCCGAUGCAAACUGCGAAUACCGGAGAAUGUUAUCACGGGAGACACACGGCGGGUGCUAACGUCCGUCGUGAAGAGGGAAACAACCCAGACCGCCAGCUAAGGUCCCAAAGUCAUGGUUAAGUGGGAAACGAUGUGGGAAGGCCCAGACAGCCAGGAUGUUGGCUUAGAAGCAGCCAUCAUUUAAAGAAAGCGUAAUAGCUCACUGGUCGAGUCGGCCUGCGCGGAAGAUGUAACGGGGCUAAACCAU